This 71-nucleotide transfer RNA is filed under the name Nocardioides sp. Root614. It matches the Rfam family "tRNA". Rfam says of the family: Transfer RNA (tRNA) molecules are approximately 80 nucleotides in length. Lineage: Bacteria; Bacillati; Actinomycetota; Actinomycetes; Propionibacteriales; Nocardioidaceae. The record is from Rfam by way of RNAcentral.
GGGGAUGUAGCACAAUGGUAGUGCCUCAGUCUUCCAAACUGAUUACGCGGGUUCGAUUCCCGUCAUCCCCU